CACUGUAGCCCCACAGAUGAAGG
RNAcentral lists this non-coding RNA (23 nucleotides) under Cricetulus griseus (Chinese hamster). The record is from RNAcentral. Lineage: Eukaryota; Metazoa; Chordata; Mammalia; Rodentia; Cricetidae.